RNAcentral lists this ribosomal RNA (773 nucleotides) under uncultured bacterium. Its description in RNAcentral is "bacterial SSU rRNA". It matches the Rfam family "Bacterial small subunit ribosomal RNA", at positions 8 to 798 of the family's 1533-position model. The record is from RNAcentral.
AGAGUUUGAUCCUGGCUCAGGACGAACGCUGGCGGCGUGCUUAACACAUGCAAGUCGAACGGAAAGGCCCUUCGGGGUACUCGAGUGGCGAACGGGUGAGUAACACGUGGGUGAUCUGCCCUGCACUUUGGGAUAAGCCUGGGAAACUGGGUCUAAUACCGAAUAGGACCGCGCGCUUCAUGGUGUGUGGUGGAAAGCUUUUGCGGUGUGGGAUGGGCCCGCGGCCUAUCAGCUUGUUGGUGGGGUAAUGGCCUACCAAGGCGACGACGGGUAGCCGGCCUGAGAGGGUGACCGGCCACACUGGGACUGAGAUACGGCCCAGACUCCUACGGGAGGCAGCAGUGGGGAAUAUUGCAGAAUGGGCGCAAGCCUGAUGCAGCGACGCCGCGUGAGGGAUGACGGCCUUCGGGUUGUAAACCUCUUUCACCAGGGACGAAGCGCAAGUGACGGUACCUGGAGAAGAAGCACCGGCCAACUACGUGCCAGCAGCCGCGGUAAUACGUAGGGUGCGAGCGUUGUCCGGAAUUACUGGGCGUAAAGAGCUCGUAGGUGGUUUGUCGCGUUGUUCGUGAAAACUCACAGCUUAACUGUGGGCGUGCGGGCGAUACGGGCAGACUAGAGUACUGCAGGGGAGACUGGAAUUCCUGGUGUAGCGGUGGAAUGCGCAGAUAUCAGGAGGAACACCGGUGGCGAAGGCGGGUCUCUGGGCAGUAACUGACGCUGAGGAGCGAAAGCGUGGGGAGCGAACAGGAUUAGAUACCCUGGUAGUCCAA